GCUGCAUGACGCAAACACUCAACAACAUCUAAACAAGAUUUUUAGUGCUUUUUAGGUGGUGGGUGGGUGCAUUAGGACGUUAAAUGCCACAUCAGCAACAUUAGGAGGAUCAUGAAAAAAAGACAGACACAAGCAGCCAAUAAAAAAACAGUUAAUGUAAAAACUUUCUUUGUUUUUGCUGCUAAACUGGGUUCAAGCCCAGCUUGUUCAACCUGUUUGCUGCUUCAAACAUUUUUCUUGUUAUACAGGAAGAUUUUCUCAUUCUUCCAGACGGUUUUGAGUUUUUCAGCUGACUUCCCGCUCCAUCAGGGUGACAGACACAAACUAAGAGUUUAGAAGCACUUUUUUACUUCUUAAAGGAUAGAGGGAGCACAGAAAGACGAAGAAGCCAAUGUUUUAUCAACACAUUCUGUAAAGGAAAACAGUAAAGUUGGUCCAUCUUCAGGUUGGUUUACUUUUUUUAUUUAAAUCUAUUUUUAAAUGUAUAGUCAGAAGAGUCCCAUUUGUAUUUUUAAAUUCAAAAGUCAUGAUGAAACUUGUCAUUUAAGAUGUGUUUUCUUUUUGUCAAAUUUAAUAAAAAUUUAGCUUGCACAAAAAGAAAAUGUUAAUAUUUUUAAUAUCCAAAACCCACAGAUCACACAAAAAAUCACCGAUCGUACAUUCAUCAAGAAAAGGAGGAAAGACGAAAAUGAGAGGAAGAAGAACAUCUUUGAUCAUGUUAUUUCUAUUUCGGAUGGUCCUUUACGAUGAUCCACUCGCCUCAGCACAAAACUUCACAACAGUUGUGUCGACUGUUGAUACCACAACAAAGACUCCUCCAGUUCCUGGUUACCAAACUAUUCCAGCUAAUGUGACAGUGGCUGCGGGAGAACCUGUGGAGUUUAGAUGCGGAGUUUCCAAGGCAGCUCCAAACCUUACAUUGACUCUUUAUGGGAGCCAUGGAAACUACAGCCUCAAAUGCCCAGAUGGGCACAUAGAAGAUAUUCCCCAGGCUCUCAGUGGAAACUGUUACAUAAAGGAUGGGGAGUCACUGGCUGUGUGGACUAUGAAGGGAACGGCCUUCCCUGACAACGGCACGAGAGUCGUUUGUCAGCAGGAAAACAAUCCCAAAACACCUUCUGCUGUCCUGCAUCUUUAUGAUAAUGGCUCCAUGUACGCUGCUCUUAUUGGAUGCUGCGUCGGGGGCUUCUUUGGAAUCCUAUUGGUGUUCGGGCUGAUGUUCCUCAUUCUAAGAAAUUCUAACCUGCCUGUUCAGUGUCUCGAGAGAAGCCCAGAAGACGACUUGGAAGAUAUAAUAAAAGAAUAACAGAAGGCUUUAAAAAAUAUUUUGGCUUGGAAAAACCCAAUUUAAGUUUGUCCCGUUCUAUUACAAGGAUAUGGUGUAAAUAAAUAUGCAAAACGUUAACUGUAAAGUGAAGUGAAGCUGCAUGACAACAGUAACAAAAUGAUGCUUUUUUAAGCAUUCUUGGUGUAGCGUUUCUUCUUUUUCCUCGGUCUGUUAACUGCAGUUACGUAGUGUGUCCACUUGAGGGAAGCACUGAAAUAAAGACAAGUUCAUCAAAUAUUGCAAAUGGAAAACCAUGAUUUCUUAAGUCAAUUUUUAAUUUGUUUUUGGUUUGUUUCUUAUUUAAAAAAUAAAACAAAAAUGAUUAAAAUAAAAUGAAAAUUAGUUGGAACUAUGAGAAAAUAUAAUAAUAAAGGAAUAGGAAUAAGCAGGAUUGAAGUGAAAUCUUUCCUUUCUCUAGAAUUUAUCUUUGCAUGUUUUUUUUUUUGUUGUUUGUUUUUUUUGUGGGAGUUUAUAACAAAUAAUACAGUUUUUUUCAAGCUUUACCAAACACCAAUGACCUCACCCGGAAAGCUAAACACAAGGCAUAUUAAAACUUUUGUCAUUUCACAAUUGAUACUUUUUUGUCAAAAUUUUUGAAAUUUCUAGGUGACAAACUCAGUUGUAAUCUAACCCACAACAGAAUGGUCCUUCAAAUGAAGCCUGCCUGUUCAGCAGCGUGUGAAGGACACAAAGGAGAAAACAGCCUGUAAAUAAGCAUGCGCGUAGAGUUGCUCAUGUGACCUCACGUCUCAGCUUCCCCUUGGCGAUGACCGCAAAUCUCAGCUAGUGUCAAGAGCAGUGCAUGUUAUUUACUGUUAUCUGCUGUCACACAAAACAUAACAGGAACUCCAGGAUGAAACUACAGCUGGGUGGGACGUGUUUUGUUUGGAGCAUCUUGCAAUAAAGUAUUUGAAAUUUGAAGUGAUGUUUGCGUUCGCUUGGUUGAUUAUGACAUAUUGUAACGUAGACAAAUAAAACACAGAAGUGUCACAUGUUAACACA
Molecule: long non-coding RNA, 2329 nt
Organism: Oryzias javanicus (javanese ricefish)
Lineage: Eukaryota; Metazoa; Chordata; Actinopteri; Beloniformes; Adrianichthyidae
Source: Ensembl